AGUCUUAGAAUAGUCCCAGUCUGGCUACAACCUUCAACCCAAGACCCGGAUUCUUCAGCACCGAGCGCCACGCCCUGCAGGAUGUUCUCUGCGGCCUCCCAGCCUUUGGACCCCGAUGGGACCUUGUUCCGGCUUCGCUUCACAGCCAUGGUCUGGUGGGUCAUCACUUUCCCUGUGUUCGGCUUCUUCUUCUGCAUCAUCUGGUCCCUGGUGUUCCACUUUGAGUACACGGUGGCCACUGACUGUGGGGUGCCCAAUUACCUGCCCUCGGUGAGCUCAGCCAUCGGCGGGGAGGUGCCCCAGCGCUACGUGUGGCGUUUCUGCAUCGGCCUGCACUCGGCGCCUCGCUUCUUGGUGGCCUUCGCCUACUGGAACCACUACCUCAGCUGCACCUCCCCGUGUUCCUGCUAUCGCCCGCUCUGCCGCCUCAACUUCGGCCUCAAUGUCGUGGAGAACCUCGCGUUGCUAGUGCUCACUUAUGUCUCCUCCUCCGAGGACUUCAGUGGGUGCCUGGAUGAGGGAGGAGUGGGGAAGUGUUC
RNAcentral lists this small RNA (539 nucleotides) under Pan troglodytes (chimpanzee). RNAcentral's name for it is "retained intron". The record is from RNAcentral. Lineage: Eukaryota; Metazoa; Chordata; Mammalia; Primates; Hominidae.